CUGGGUCGUGCCUCAGCCGCCGGCCAACGUGUGGACCACGUUGGCCAAGUCUUCAGAUCAAGAUCAAUUAUGUUUAUCUACCACCUCUGCAGCCAACCCUUUCCUUUCCUGCCUCGUGGGGAUCCCAUAUCCAUUAGGUAACCUCCCUUUCACCUUCCCCGUGAACUUCUCCUUACCCCGAAACCGGACCGGGAUUUUCAGUGUCCAGAUUUUAAAGAAAUCGGACACUUGGAGAUCCUGGGUCCGUCAAUUUGCAAUCACUGAAAACGAACCACAAGAAUUACAGCUCCUUGGUUCCUCCCUUGCCUAUACCUAUGUUCAUUUCGUAGUAUCCACAUCCAAUCCCUUUGCCCAGCCCUAUGAAGAGGUAAAACAAUCAAUCAAAGAAUAUGCAGCUAAGCAAUGGUGCACCAAGCUAAUCCAAAUCCCCGGUUUCCCCACCCCCGAUGAUCAACCCCAGCAACUUCCUAAGGGCACCUUUCUGAUUUGUGGUAAUAGGGCUUGGGCAGGCAUCCCCUCUCGCCUAAUAGGAGGGCCAUGUACUUUCAGGCAGUUGAGCCUUUUCGCACCUAACAAAACUCAAAUUGCUCAUUGGCAAGACCAAAAUCGGACAGGUCAAUUGGUACGUACCAAAAUAGACACAUCAUUUGCUGAUUUGGAUUCAAAUUGUGAUGAUGAAGUUGUUCAUUGGGCUAAACCAAAAGGCAUGGCUACUAUUGCCUUUUUACCCUGGGUAGCCAUCGCCCAUGACUUCAGGGAAUUGGCCAGCCUGGAGUGUUGGGUGUCUAAAAGAGCAAACUUUACAUCAUCUGCCAUCGCCGACCUCCUGUCAGACGAGAAAAUAACGAGGCAGGCUACCCUACAGAACCGUGCAGCAAUUGAUUUUCUGUUACUUUUACAUAAUCAUAAAUGUGAAGAAUUUGCCGGUUUGUGUUGUAUGAAUUUGAGUUCGAAGGCUGAGAACGUCCGGACGACCUUAGAUAAGAUGCAGGACAUGAUGCGCCACCUGAAAAGACAAACAUCAGAUUGGUUGGGGUCGAUAUUUGAAGGAUGGGGACUGGAUGGCUGGGUCCAAUCAAUUGUUAAAACUGGAAUUUAUGUUGUUUUAGCCCUUGUUGUGUUUAUCAUUGGUUUUAGUAUUAUAAAAGGUUUAGUUAUGAAAGAAAUUAAUACCACCAUAGACAUCAAUCACACAGUCCUGGCCACACCGGAAGAGAGAGAACCCUUGAACUGAGAAGAAGAGCAGGAAGAUGGAGAAGUCUGGUACGACGACGAGGCCCAGGACUGCGAAUCCCCAGUUUAAAGACUUUAUGUUCAUGGACUAUUUCAGUUUCCUUCAUUUCUUUUCGUUUAAAACAAAAAAGGGCGAGAUGUGGUGGUGUGUUUUUAUGUUCCUUAAGUUAUAUGAUGUAUUCUUAUUUAAUGUUAU
RNAcentral lists this long non-coding RNA (1429 nucleotides) under Chloebia gouldiae (Gouldian finch). Its description in RNAcentral is "Erythrura gouldiae (Gouldian finch) lncRNA (ENSEGOG00005017334.1)". The record is from RNAcentral. Lineage: Eukaryota; Metazoa; Chordata; Aves; Passeriformes; Passeridae.